RNAcentral lists this ribosomal RNA (291 nucleotides) under uncultured prokaryote. RNAcentral describes it as "partial 16S ribosomal RNA". It matches the Rfam family "Bacterial small subunit ribosomal RNA", at positions 505 to 796 of the family's 1533-position model. The record is from RNAcentral.
GUGUCAGCCGCCGCGUAAUGCGUAGGUGGCAAGCGUUAUCCGGAAUUAUUGGGCGUAAAGCGCGCGCAGGUGGUUUCUUAAGUCUGAUGUGAAAGCCCACGGCUCAACCGUGGAGGGUCAUUGGAAACUGGGAGGCUUGAGUGCAGAAGAGGAAAGUGGAAUUCCAUGUGUAGCGGCGAAAUGCGUAGAGAUAUGGAGGAACACCAGUGGCGAAGGCGACUUUCUGGUCUGUAACUGACACCGAGGCGCGAAAGCGUGGGGAGCAAACAGGAUUAGAAACCCCGGUAGUCC